Daphnia pulex (common water flea) is the source of this 72-nucleotide non-coding RNA. The record is from Rfam. Lineage: Eukaryota; Metazoa; Arthropoda; Branchiopoda; Diplostraca; Daphniidae.
UACCAUAUUGUCUAGUGGUUAGGAUACCUGGCUCUCACCCUAGAGGCCCGGGUUCAAUUCCCGGUAUGGGAA